ACCCAGGUGCCCCACAUUUGUUCCCAUUCUUAAUAAAAAUCAGGGCACACCACAGAGUGGGGAGAGGACUGGACUGGAUAUUGUGAGCAGGCACCUGUAGGGGGCGCUGGCCCACCUGAAUAAUCCGGGAUGAUUUCACCUCAAGAUCCUCAAUCACCUCUCUGCAGAGUCCCCUUUUUCCACAUAAGGUCCUAUUCACAGAUUCCAAGGAUCAGGACAUGGACAUAUCUUUGGGGGUGGGGGGGUCCGCCAUUCAACCCACAAGAAUGCUCCCCCACUCGUGUCCCCACAAGAGCCUGAAAGAACCAAGAAAGACAUUCCUUGUUCUAUGGGUGGAGCCUGAGGUCACCGCUGAAGACUCUUCAUGGAAAUGUUUUGAAUAAUUCUUCCCAUGUGCCUUAGCAAUGUCACUUUACUGCUCUUCCCAUCAAGAGGUGAAGUUGUCUCUCCUCCCUUGAAUCCCAAGCUUGGCAAUGUGACUUAUUUUGGCCAAUGGGACUUUAGCAAAUGUAAGCAGAGGCUUGAAACACACUUGGGCAUGAGGAUUGCCCUCUCUUUGGCCAUGGUUGGAAGGCGGACAUUAUGAUGUGGAUGGGCCUGAGCUAGUUGCUGAAGAGGCCACAUUGAGAACUGAAGUAUCUCAGCCCUAAGCUUGCUGACUGCUAGAUAUGUGAGAACAUGCUAGAUCAUCCAGCCCUAAUCAAACCACCAGGUGAGUACAGCUGCAUGCAUGACCCCAGGGAAGCCCAGUGGACAAACCACCAACUGAGCCCAGCCAAACUGCUGACCUACACACUACUGAGCCAAGAACACGGCUGUUGUUUUGAGCCACUAGAUUUUGGGGUGGUUUUCUGCUAUACCUGAUACAGUCCCCAUGCAG
Long non-coding RNA from Lynx canadensis (Canada lynx), 880 nucleotides. RefSeq lists it as uncharacterized. The transcript is spliced from 3 exons. NCBI's taxonomy places the organism in Eukaryota, Metazoa, Chordata, Mammalia, Carnivora, Felidae. The record is from RefSeq and is a predicted model, not a curated record.